AGUCGAGCGAGAAGUCACAUUACUAAUUCUUCGGAAGAAGUAAAGUGAUGGAAAGCGGCGGACGGGUGAGUAACGCGUAGGCAACCUGCCUCUCACAGGGGGAUAGCCAUCGGAAACGGUGAUUAAUACCCCAUAAAGUCAAAAUAACACAUGUUAAGCUGACCAAAGAUUUAUCGGUGAGAGAUGGGCCUGCGUCUGAUUAACUAGUUGGUGAGGUAACGGCUCACCAAGGUGACGAUCAGUAGCCGACCUGAGAGGGUGAACGGCCACAUUGGAACUGAGACACGGUCCAAACUUCUACGGAAGGCAGCAGUAGGGAAUCUUGCACAAUGGGCGAAAGCCUGAUGCAGCAACGCCGCGUGAAGGAAGAAGGCCUUAGGGUCGUAAACUUCUGUUCUUGGGGAAGAAAAAAAUGACGGUACCCAAGGAGGAAGCCCCGG
This 440-nucleotide ribosomal RNA is filed under the name uncultured bacterium. RNAcentral's name for it is "bacterial SSU rRNA". It matches the Rfam family "Bacterial small subunit ribosomal RNA", at positions 60 to 496 of the family's 1533-position model. The record is from RNAcentral.